AUGCUGUCACUCCCUGAACUUGUGAACAUAGACCGUCACUACAGUUUUUGGAAUGCUACUAGGAUAGAUCCGGUUAGGAAAACAGUCAGGCUCGGUGAUGGCAGUUCUCGGCUGGUGACGGCUAACGCUGUUAGGGAUGUAGUAGGUCUGGGGACGAGUGACAGGGAGAUUCCCUUCCCCCAUGAGCCUAGCUGCGUCGAUCGUGAUAUCUUCAGGGACGUGUGUGCCGGUUUGGGACUAGAUGAGACGCUGGAUAAGAUAAGCUUGCAAAUGCUGCGGUCCGUGCUUGCUUCCCCAGGUGAUCUAAGUGUCGAUUUUGAGUCUAACCGGCAAUGUGCUGCAUUUGUUCUCCUUUGCACUGCUUGCUUGUUCAAUCCUAGAGUGAAUCGGAAGGACGACCCGAUCAGCCCGGAAGUGUUCGUUGCUGUGCGUGAUCCAUCGAAGAUGUUUGAGUUUGAUUGGUGUGGAUACAUAAAAGUUGUUAUCAUGGCUGGUGUGACUAAGAUGCACGCUGAUCUCAAUGCUGGGGCGACGACGGUUCAGUUGCAAGGGUUCCUGAUGGUUCCUCAGCUAAUCACAUUUGAUGCAAUGGUGGCUGGGCGGGGGUUGCAACCGGGACACCCCCGCAUAACAUUGUACAAGGCUGAGGACUUCCAGCUGCUCGCUGGUUUGGACGCUGAUCGUCGAAGUAUUGGUGGACACAGGCUAUACGGCAAGGCGAGGGUCUGUCGGUGA
Molecule: ribosomal RNA, 735 nt
Filed under: Triticum aestivum (bread wheat)
Lineage: Eukaryota; Viridiplantae; Streptophyta; Magnoliopsida; Poales; Poaceae
Description: partial small subunit ribosomal RNA
Source: RNAcentral